Molecule: ribosomal RNA, 253 nt
Filed under: uncultured bacterium
Lineage: Bacteria
Description: partial 16S ribosomal RNA
Rfam family: Bacterial small subunit ribosomal RNA
Source: RNAcentral
UACAGAGGUCUCAAGCGUUGUUCGGAUUUAUUGGGCGUAAAGGGCGCGUAGGUGGCGCGAUAAGUCGGGUGUGAAAUCUCGGAGCUUAACUCCGAAAUUGCAUUCGAUACUGCCGUGCUUGAGGACUGGAGAGGAGACUGGAAUUCAUGGUGUAGCAGUGAAAUGCGUAGAGAUCAUGAGGAAGACCAGUGGCGAAGGCGGGUCUCUGGACAGUUCCUGACACUGAGGCACGAAGGCCAGGGGAGCAAACGGG